GAUGAACGCUGGCGGCGUGCCUAAUACAUGCAAGUCGAGCGAACAGAUGAGGAGCUUGCUCCUCUGACGUUAGCGGCGGACGGGUGAGUAACACGUGGAUAACCUACCUAUAAGACUGGGAUAACUUCGGGAAACCGGAGCUAAUACCGGAUAAUAUAUUGAACCGCAUGGUUCAAUAGUGAAAGACGGUUUUGCUGUCACUUAUAGAUGGAUCCGCGCCGCAUUAGCUAGUUGGUAAGGUAACGGCUUACCAAGGCAACGAUGCGUAGCCGACCUGAGAGGAUGAUCAGCCACACUGGAACUGAGACACGGUCCAGACUCCUACGGGAGGCAGCAGUAGGGAAUCUUCCGCAAUGGGCGAAAGCCUGACGGAGCAACGCCGCGUGAGUGAUGAAGGUCUUCGGAUCGUAAAACUCUGUUAUUAGGGAAGAACAAAUGUGUAAGUAACUAUGCACGUCUUGACGGUACCUAAUCAGAAAGCCACGGCUAACUACGUG
This 497-nucleotide ribosomal RNA is filed under the name uncultured bacterium. Its description in RNAcentral is "partial 16S ribosomal RNA". It matches the Rfam family "Bacterial small subunit ribosomal RNA", at positions 28 to 507 of the family's 1533-position model. The record is from RNAcentral.